AAUGUACUCCCUCCGUCCGGAAAUACUUGUCAUCAAGAUGAAUAAAAGGGGAUGUAUUUAGAUGUAUUUUAGUUCUAGAUACACCUCUUUUUAUCCAUUUUCAUGACAAGUAUUUCCGGACGGAGGGAGUAUGUG
Molecule: non-coding RNA, 135 nt
Organism: Triticum urartu
Lineage: Eukaryota; Viridiplantae; Streptophyta; Magnoliopsida; Poales; Poaceae
Source: Rfam